GGUCCCGUGGUCCAGCGGCGACGACAUCUGUCUUACAAACAGAAAACGGCGGUUCGAUUCCGUCCGGGACUAC
This 73-nucleotide transfer RNA is filed under the name Blastopirellula retiformator. RNAcentral describes it as "Planctomycetes bacterium Enr8 tRNA-Val". It matches the Rfam family "tRNA". Rfam says of the family: Transfer RNA (tRNA) molecules are approximately 80 nucleotides in length. Their secondary structure includes four short double-helical elements and three loops (D, anti-codon, and T loops). Further hydrogen bonds mediate the characteristic L-shaped molecular structure. tRNAs have two regions of fundamental functional importance: the anti-codon, which is responsible for specific mRNA codon recognition, and the 3' end, to which the tRNAs corresponding amino acid is attached (by aminoacyl-tRNA synthetases). tRNAs cope with the degeneracy of the genetic code in two manners: having more than one tRNA (with a specific anti-codon) for a particular amino acid; and 'wobble' base-pairing, i.e. permitting non-standard base-pairing at the 3rd anti-codon position. Lineage: Bacteria; Pseudomonadati; Planctomycetota; Planctomycetia; Pirellulales; Pirellulaceae. The record is from RNAcentral.